Molecule: long non-coding RNA, 293 nt
Organism: Myotis davidii
Lineage: Eukaryota; Metazoa; Chordata; Mammalia; Chiroptera; Vespertilionidae
Exons: 4
Source: RefSeq, a predicted model, not a curated record
UAAAGUCAGUGGGCCUGUUUAUAAGAUAAGGUCCUGGAAUGAGGGUCCACUGAGUCCUGGACUCUCUCUUUUGCCUGGGCUGUCUUCAGCCGGGUAUGAUGAAGCCACGACAGGAUCCCGUCGACCUUGACUGCGGUGGGAGUGGUCCUUUCCAGGCAGGAGUCAGUCCUUGGGUGGCAAACUUCUUUACCCAAACAGAGUCACCAGGUUGGAAGGGAUGAACUGGAUACAGGCAGAUCAUCACAGACGUGCUUCUGGUCUGCUUUCUGGGUAAAGGUUCUUAUUAGAAGCUU